AGAUGAAAGAUGAAAGAUGAAAGAUCAGAAUGAGAUCAGAUCAGAAUGAGAGAGAUAAUUGGAUUCCGUUCUUCUGUUUCUUUUUCCGUUCGUAUGUUUUUUUCGUUUCUUCUUGUUUUUGU
RNAcentral lists this non-coding RNA (122 nucleotides) under Licmophora paradoxa. Lineage: Eukaryota; Bacillariophyta; Fragilariophyceae; Licmophorales; Licmophoraceae. The record is from RNAcentral.